Molecule: transfer RNA, 72 nt
Filed under: Bacteroidota bacterium
Lineage: Bacteria; Pseudomonadati; Bacteroidota
Description: Bacteroidetes bacterium (activated sludge metagenome) tRNA-Glu
Rfam family: tRNA
About the family: Transfer RNA (tRNA) molecules are approximately 80 nucleotides in length. Their secondary structure includes four short double-helical elements and three loops (D, anti-codon, and T loops). Further hydrogen bonds mediate the characteristic L-shaped molecular structure. tRNAs have two regions of fundamental functional importance: the anti-codon, which is responsible for specific mRNA codon recognition, and the 3' end, to which the tRNAs corresponding amino acid is attached (by aminoacyl-tRNA synthetases). tRNAs cope with the degeneracy of the genetic code in two manners: having more than one tRNA (with a specific anti-codon) for a particular amino acid; and 'wobble' base-pairing, i.e. permitting non-standard base-pairing at the 3rd anti-codon position.
Source: RNAcentral
GACCCUGUAGAUAAGUGGUUACAUCGUCGGGUUUUCAGUCCGAAGGCAGGAGUUCGAUUCUCCUCAGGGUUA